GGCUGGGUAGCUCAGUGGCUAGAGCAUCAAGGCUAAUAGACCUCCCAUGUCGCCGGUUCGAGUCCGGCCCCGGCCU
RNAcentral lists this transfer RNA (76 nucleotides) under Caudoviricetes sp. Its description in RNAcentral is "tRNA-Ile". It matches the Rfam family "tRNA". Rfam says of the family: Transfer RNA (tRNA) molecules are approximately 80 nucleotides in length. The record is from RNAcentral. Lineage: Duplodnaviria; Heunggongvirae; Uroviricota; Caudoviricetes.